GGGGUUGUAACUCAGAGGUAGAGUGCUCGCUUCGCAUGUGAGAAGACCGGUGUUCAAUCCUCCGCAACUCCA
This is a non-coding RNA of Daphnia pulex (common water flea), 72 nucleotides long. Lineage: Eukaryota; Metazoa; Arthropoda; Branchiopoda; Diplostraca; Daphniidae. The record is from Rfam.